ACAUGUCCUUUUGUUUAUUAAUUUAAGGUUUAACCUGCCCAAUGAGGAAUUCAAUGGCCGCAGUAUUUUAACUGUGCUAAGGUAGCAUAAUCAUUUGUCUUUUAAUUGAGGGCUGGAAUGAAGGGUUGGACGAGGCAUUAGCUUUCUUUGAUUUAAUUUAGGAAUUUAAUUUUUGAGUUAAAAAGCUUAAAUUUAUUUAUGGGACGAGAAGACCCUAUAGAUCUUUAUGGUUCUAUGUUUUAAUAAUUUAGGGAUUUAUAUAUUUUAAGCAGAUGAAUUAUUUUGUUGGGGUGACUGUAGAAUUUAAAUAACUUCUAUUUUUUAUUUUCAUUAAUUAAUGUUUUUUUGAUCCAUAAUUUAUGAUUAGAAGAAUAAGUUACCUUAGGGAUAACAGCGUAAUUUCCUCGGAGAGUUCAUAUUGAUGAGGGAGUUUGCGACCUCGAUGUUGGAUUAAAAUAAGUUGUGGAUGCAGGAGUCUAUUUACUAGGUCUGUUCGACCUUUGAAUUUUUACAUGAUCUGAGUUCAAACCGGAG
Molecule: ribosomal RNA, 534 nt
Filed under: Triatoma pseudomaculata
Lineage: Eukaryota; Metazoa; Arthropoda; Insecta; Hemiptera; Reduviidae
Description: partial 16S ribosomal RNA
Rfam family: Bacterial large subunit ribosomal RNA
Source: RNAcentral